Molecule: long non-coding RNA, 7801 nt
Organism: Manis pentadactyla (Chinese pangolin)
Lineage: Eukaryota; Metazoa; Chordata; Mammalia; Pholidota; Manidae
Exons: 3
Source: RefSeq, a predicted model, not a curated record
UGGAUCAGAAUAUUUGAAACUGAGGCUGUCUCAGAAAAAGAGACCUAUGGUCCAGGAAAGAAGCAGGCGUCCCUCAUCAGGAGGGAAGGCAUGACAGAAGGUAGGCCCAGAGCAGGCCGGGUGCAGCCGUCAAUUAAAGACAGGAGAUGGCAGCGAUCAUCACCAUCAAGGUUACAGUUCUGGACUAUGUACUAUGCCCAGGAAUCAUUCUAAGGGCUUUCUGUGCAUGAUCUCAUUUAACACUCAUAAAAGCCCUGACAGAAGCCUCUAUGAGCCCUGUUUUAUUGCUGAGGAAAUGGGCUGGGAGCAGUCCCUUGGAACUGAUAGAGCAGGGAUCCAAACCCAAGGCUUUCAGACUCCAUAGACAGUGCUCUGGGAUUGGAAUCUGCCCCAGAGACCUCUGGGAAGCCUCUCACCUUCUGCUGUCAUUCCAGCCUGAGCCCCAACACCAGUUUUUGCAGCUGUCCCCCUGUCCCAGUGAAGCCAGGCCUCUGGGUUCUAAAACCAGGGAAAUGCCUGCAGUGUGAUGGACAGUCAGGAGGCAUCUUUCCAUUUUUUCCUUUAAAUAAUUCUCAUAACUAGUGCAAUUUGCCAUUUCUGUCUCCUCACACUUCCCCCACCCCCAACAUGUUCUUUUUUGAUUAUUUAUUAUCAUAAUUAACAUUUAUUGGACAUAUCACUGUGCAAAAUGUGGAGGAAGCCAGACUCUCCCACCCUUUUGGCUUAUGAUCCAAAUAUUUAGAUUGUAAACACAAUGUUUUUGGCAACUUAAUUCUGUAUGAAGAAAUAGAGCAUUUGCAGGAAAUGUCAGAUGCUUAUUUUAUGAUCAGUGCAAGGAGUAAUUUGCCCCACACAAAGAUUUGGACUUGGCAAACAAGCCCUGUCUACCUAACCACAUGUGAGGGAGGCAGGGACAAUGCUCCUUCCUUGCCACAGUUGUUAGGAAAUGGGCACUUUUAACCAUCAGUAAAAUGCAGUGGUAGAAAGGGGCAGGAUUGGGGGUGCUGGUGGCCAGCAAGGGAGCUGGGCUAGAGGCAUUAAUAGAAGUUUUUGCUUACCCCUUCUCAUAGUAAUGGAUAAACCCAGGCCACAUAUUAUUCUGUGCUAAAUGUGUUCAAGAGACAUGUAAAAAGUGAACAAAUUAGCCUACUUCCUCAUCUUUCACAAUCUGCAGAAUAAGACUGCCAGCACGCAGAGGAGGUAACUCACUCCAGAACACUGGCUUCAGAACUUCCUGCCUGUGUGACAGUUCUCUCUCGGACAUAGUGUAGAAGCCCAGACAUGCAGUGUUUUCCAUUUGAGAAACUGCUAAUUUCAUGUGACAUGAUAUUGAAGACUGUAAGACUGAAGAGAACACUAAAUGCCCAACCUGACAAAACUGUUCACUUACUAGCACUAAACCACCAAAAUACAAAUUGCAUGAAGGUAGGAGAAAGUCACAUCUCUGGGGUGACACUGCAAAAUGGCCGCAAACUUCCCCUGGAAGAAGGCUAUGCACUUUCCCAAGUCAGAGAGUUGGAAGGUCUUAUUAGUGACUUAUGAACAGGCAUGAGUGUUAAGUCUCAAUGUGCGAUGGAACAAAAAGGAAUUUUCAUCCAUGGUAAUGCUCUUGGUAGGUAGCAGAGUUGGGAUACGAUUCAGAUUUGUUUUGGUCAUUUAAUCCAAAGCUCUUGACAAUAUGCCAUUCUGUCCAGGCUUUUUUAACCCAUAACACUAAAAAACACAGGAAUGAAUAUACAACUCUGGAGCAAACCUGAGCAUCUUCACAAAGUCAGUGGGCCUAGAGAUGAGGACACAUGAGUUCCAGUUGAGCCAUUAGUCCCCCACGAAUCCCAAAAUAUCUCAACAGAAGACACUUCCAACAGGGCUUAUAUUCAGCCAGCAGGUUAAGCAGCCCAGCCAGGGUCCAGUUGAACUAGCCAGAAUCUUGAUCCUAUUUGUUGUUAGAUAUUUUGAAUACUACCCCUACUUACUAAGAGAUCCUGCAGGUACCAGAGCAUCACUGAAUUUAUAUAUAACAUCAACAUAUUUGCAGGAGGCAACAUCUGCAGCUUGUUGUGUGCAAAUUAUUCAGGUAAUAUGGAGAAAAUGUUAAAAUUACCAGAAGAAAGCCUCAGAGCCACCCCCUUUUAAGCUGCCUUAGUGUUCUUUUCCCAUAGAUGUAAAUUCUGGCUAUGUAAGAACAAGAAAUCUGACAAAAGGUAGCUUUUUUAAUGUUUGCUUUUUAGUCUCAAGCAACAAGCUACACCACUAUUGGAAGCCAUUAUAAGGGCAUGCUCUUUCCACCCUGUUCAUCACAUAAUUCUGGCCCCUGGUUUACUGCACUAACAGGAAUUAUAAAAAGGGAGGGUCCACUGGAUUGCUUCACACCUGAUGUAGAGUUCCAUUAUUGUAAACCAGUUGUUCAAUUGAGAAAAAUCUCUCAAUCUCUCAGCCUAUUGAUGAAAUACUGAAAUCCCACUGCUCUGUAAUAAAUAUUGUAUGUGUCAAAUGGAUUAUAGAAAAGCUUGGAAUUGUGCCCCUUGGCAUGUGGCAUAGUACAGCCAACUUAAGUUUUCCCAUCUCACUUUGCUAUAGCAAAACCAUAGUAUUGUGAUCUAAGGGCCAAAAGCUUUUAAUUAGCUUUUAAGAACACACCCACAAUAUUGGCAAAUGCCUCUAAUAGCAGGGGGCCUUUAUAGUUGAUGCCACAUUUUUCAUGAGAAAAUAUUAGUUUCUGCUGUGACAUAGUGUUUCUGCCAUGACAUUUAGGUGGUUUUUUAAAACAGCUACUACAUAAAUUUUGCAGUCUCUGACUAGUACCAUACAUGUCUUGUUUUGAACAUAAAGUUCUCUUUUUCUUUACAUCCUUGAUGUUUUGUUGUUUUUUUAAUGACAUGUUAUUAGUGAUUAUUUUCAGUUGAUUAAUAAAUGUAAUGUGUUCUUGGCACAUCAUGUAAGCAAGCUGACAGUGACAUGCCCCUCUAAAUCAGCUACUAUGUGGCCUUGGGGGAGGAUGAAUAACCCUGUUCAAGGCUGAAAGCAUAACUUCUGUAAAAGGCAGUCUAACCUUUUACACCGUAACAUGCUCUGAUACAAAGGUCAUAAAAGUUUCUUAUACAUUUCAAUUAGUUAAUUCUAAUUGCAAACUUACUUCAGUUGUGUGGAGUGGCCUGCCAAAAGAUAUAAUGCUGCUUCAGAUUUUCAAAACAUCUUCUAUCUAAAAAUCAGUAAUAUUGUACCUUUUCUUCUCCAUGUAACUAUCAAAGCAAUCCCUGAGAAAAUAGCUCAGGGAAAGACUAUCUAAAAUUCAUUUCAGAAAAGAUAGUGUUUCUGUCUAGUCUGGGAAUGGGGGCAUCGUUGCUAACUAUCUGAGCAGAGCAUUGCACAAUAUGCUUUGCUUGUUUUCUAGCUGAAUAUUAGCCUGACUUUACAAACAAUUCAGGUCUACAAACUCCAGUGAGAACCAGAAAACGACCUAAAUACAUUCCCUAAGCAAAGGAAGAGGAAGAAAGCAGGCAAACUUGGCAAGAUUUCUGAAAGGAAAUGUUACUGUUCUCUAGUAAAAGAGAGUUUAUAAUGUGUAAAGAAAAUUAAGAAGUGGAGUGACAUCAAUGCAAAGCGAUGGGGGGCGUGGUCUCCUGCGGCAACGCGGAGCCAGUCGGGAGAUAUGGUCCCAGCCCCUCCCCUAACCGGACCUGCCAUGCGGGGCAAAUUACGUCCCUUUCUGAGGCUCAAUUUUCUCAUCUGUAAAAUUCCCUAAGGUCCCAUUCAACACGAACAUGUUGAGGCUGGAAGUCUAUAAAAGAUCUGAGAUGGCUUAAAUAGGAGGCGGCGGCAGAUGGUCUGUGGGGCUCAUGAGCUCUGAGAAGAGUAAUCGGAGUCAGGAAGUGGGAAAAAAAAGGCAGACACGAUUCUAUUGAAAACAAGUAGAAAAUUUGAGAAGACCUGGAAAAGUAACUGAAAAAGAUAACAGCUAAUAGUAAAGUCCAUUUCCAAAGGUGUGGGAAGAAAAUUUGGCCAACAAAACAAUAAAUUAUAAGGAAGAGAGCAUGGCAAAAAUUAAAAUAUUGCUCAUUAGUAUGAGUAGAAAAAAGAGAAUGUCCAGUGAGAAUUCAGGCCAUCAUAUAGUCAUACGGCCAAAUUCUUAAAAAAGGAAAUCAUAUCUAAUGGUAAGUGUACCUCUUUUUUAAUGUAAACUAAUAUCAUCCUUUAUCUAUUUGUGAUUUGAGGAAGGCUGGGAGCUUGGUCUUUAAUGACAUGUAGUAGGGAAUCAACAUCAUAGUAAAGUGACAAGAUAAAACAUUGUCUAUUGCUAUAGACUGAAAGUUUGUGGCUCCCCAAAAUUCGUAUGUUGAAAUCCUAACCCCCAAUGUGAUGGUAAUAAGAGGUGGGGCCUUUGGAAGGUGAUUAGGUCCUGGGGGUAGAGACCUCAUAAUGGGGUCAAUACCCUGAUUAAAGAGACCCCCCAGAAAGGUCCCUUACUCCUUCCACCCUGGAAGGACACAGCAAGAAGUAGGCAGUCUGCAACCAGGAAAAGGGCUUUCACCAGAACCCCAGCAUGCUGGCAACAUCCUGAGCUCGUACUUCCAGCCUCCAGAACUACAAGGGUAAGUGUUUGCUGCUUGUGAGCCACCGAGUCUGUGAUAUUUCAUUAUAGCAGCCCAAAUGGACUAAAACAGAGGCAGAGAGAAGUUAAAUAAAUUGCCCAGCCUCAUAAAGCAAGUAAGAGACAGAACCAAGAUUUAAGUGUGAGCCUCUUUGCUGCUGCUUUGACACAGAUGAGACUUUAAUAUGAAUUAAGUGUUGCAAAGGGAAGUAACCUGGUGCAGGGAUCAGAGAAGCACUCCCUAAGGAGAGGGCAUCAGAACUGAGACCUGAAGAAGAGCAGGAGUUAAGCGGGCACAGAAGCGUGAGGAGCCCGAGGUGGAAAGCUGCUCCAAGUGAUUAUCAGAUCAUUAUACUGCACUUGACUCAGAAAGGCCGCUGCACCAUUAUCAUAUACAGAUGCCUAAAAUAUCAGGGUGUUGCCAGCAAAGCCAUCGGCCAGAACGCCAACAGUGGUUUUCUUUGGGAAAUGCAAUUUCUGGACUCCAUUAGGUAGGCUCCAGAAAGGCUCACGUGGUAAGGAACUCAUGUCUCCAGCCAAUAGCCAGGAAGGAACUGAACUCUGCCAGCAACCGCAUGAAUGAGCCUAGAAAAGAAUCCUCCCCAGGUGACUGUUCAGAUGAGACUGCAGCCCUGCAAACAGCUUGCAUGCAGCCUCCUGAGAGACCUUGGACCAGAAUCACUCAGCUAAACUGAUCCCAGUUUCCUGAUCCACAGGAUAAGUAAUUGCCCUUAUAAACUGCUAUAUUUAGGUAUAAUUUGUAUGUAGCCAUAGAUACAAAAUUCAAGCUCUGAGACUUUCUGCCAAGUAAUAAAUUAUUUCUCCUACCUUGAUGCACACAGGUUGUUCCCAUUGAGGGAAGAAAAAUUCUCCUCCUUCCCCUCCCAUAAACAUUCAUGUCAACACACAAACUCCCCCUCUCUGGCUGGGGAGUAAGCGCUAUAGGUAACUCACAAAUAUUUUCACUACACAGAUGUAUGUGGUUCUAGAUAGUGAAACCUUCAGAAAGUCACUGCUUCACUCUUUCCUUGGCUCCAUCAUUUUUAUGUUCACUUAAUUUGUUUGGAAUCUUUCAUGAGUCAAUAGAAGCCAGAGAAUUCUAAGGAAGAAUUUGACUCCUCCCCUGGGCAGAAUAUUUAAGUCAUGCAUUAUUGUUUGUUUUUAGGCAAACCAGUACAAUUAUGCAUCAUAAAUUCUUUUAAAGCAUCUGGGACUUCAGUUCAAUUUAAAAUCCUGUGGGGUUUAUUACCAGAAUGAAUAAUUAUAAAAUAUAUGCAUGCAAAUGAAGAGAUAAAAAAAUUAAAGAGCCUAUAAAAUUUAGCACACACUACUUAUAAUUCCAUGCCAAAUUGUUGCAAAAGACAGUGGCUACACAAUACCACAUAAAAAUAUGGUUUAUAAUAUUUAUGACUUGAGAAUGUGCCUUCAAUAUUCUAUUGUCAUGAACAUAUAUUAUAAAACAGAGUUAAGAAUUAGUUUCUUGUGUUAAUAGGAGGAGGGAGGGAAAAAGAGUUUACCAAAGCUGUCAUUGGUUGCACUAUCAAAAUAAAGAACUUGCUUUUACCCCAAUUGUGCAAGCACAGUGAAAAGACAAUGAAGAGCUCGUGAACAUGGAGUUUCUCUACUUUUCAUUAUUUUUAUUCUGAGAGUGCAUUUGGAGCCAAUCUAAUUCAAUCAGUAUUUAUUAAGCAUCAAAAGUAAUAUGUAAUAAAUAUGUAAAAAAGAAUAUAUUUGCUACUCUGUGGGGUAGGGGUGGAGGGAAUAAAAAUUGAACCUUACAUUCCCUACCCUUGAUGAGAUCAAAAUCUGGAGAGCUUUGCAUAAAGAAUUUGAACCAGAACUGCAUAAACUGUUGCAGGAGCCAAGUAACAGGCUCCCACCUCCGGACUCCUCUUUCAAUCCAUCCUCUACUUUGCUGCCUGAGUUAGUUACCCAUAAUAAAAAAUCCACUUGUUCUGCUUUCCUGUAUGAAGUUUUCCACUGCUUAGAAAAUAUACUCCAGACUCCUUAGUAUAAGGCCCUUCAACAUUUGGUCUGAAACCACCUUUACAUAUGCAGAUAACACCCUGGAGAAAAAUGGGUAAGAAAAACAUGGAUUCCACUUGAAAAGACUGAGGAUUCCAGUGCGGUUCUUCAAUUAGCGUGCAGACAUCCACUGUUUCUGCAAGACUCAUCCCUUCCUAAUUUCUACCUCCAGCAAAAAUUAACUUCUACCGAACGUUAGAGUCAUGACGGCCAGGAAGCAGCUGAAGCACCUCCUUGCAGGGACUGGCACAGUAGGAGGAAACAAAAGGGUGUGUUAUUAUGAAAGAAACUAACUGAUAGGAACAUCUCCCUUUUCCUAAUUCCUCCUACUCCAGCCCCAGUCCUCCAGAGGAGAGCUUUGUACUUCUGAACGACUUUGGUCUCUGUACGCUUCACCCAAGAAGCGAAAUUGCUCUGGGACCACUCCUGAAUGUGGAGGGGAUGGUGAGAUUUAGAGAUGGAGAAAAUUGCUUGGAAUUCAUUAGGCUGAAGCAGCCAGAGAUAGCAGUGUGGAGAAAAGAGUCGCGGAGCCUGAGAAUGGGAAGGCUUUCCCUUUGGGUUUGAGUUUUUCAGUGGGUGGGGAGUUCACGGAUGGUGUAGAGACAGGCCCAUCUUGCAUGCUUUACUCCACAUACUGCAGUAUGACUGUAGAUGGGGGCUCUCUGAGAGCACAGCAGGUGGCGGGGCCCCCAGAUGUCUGUGAGCACUGCUGGGAGAUCAGCCUCAACACCAGAGACAAGCAGGAAGGGUAAGAGUAAAGACAAAGCCCGCUGGACUAGUGAUGGGCAUCUGCUUCAUCAUGCACCAUGAGCACCAAAUAAAUCCAGUUUCUCAUGUAAUCCCAAAGAGCAGAGAUCUCACUCUACCCCAGUCAGGUGAGCUCAGAGCAAUUUAUAUUUGAUUUAGAGAUUUAAGGAACAUGCCUUAUACCAGGCUUUAAUAUCUUUAUAUACCAGACAUAGUUUGGGGGCUGUUUCCAGAUAAGAAUGUUUAAACCACCGUGUUCCCAGAAUCCUAUAGACAUUUUUGCAUGUUGAGCUCCAUAUGCAUGGGUCUACAGAGAAAUACCAGACUACAUUUAAUGGAAAAACCCAUUUCCCCAUUCCUCCCUUAUUUCUAUAGGCCACAGACCAGAUCCAGUCUGCUGCCUGUUUUUAUACAGCCUAAAAUGGUUUAUUCAUUUUUUAA